RNAcentral lists this transfer RNA (91 nucleotides) under Dactylellina haptotyla CBS 200.50. It matches the Rfam family "tRNA". From Rfam's summary of the family: Transfer RNA (tRNA) molecules are approximately 80 nucleotides in length. Their secondary structure includes four short double-helical elements and three loops (D, anti-codon, and T loops). The record is from Rfam by way of RNAcentral. Lineage: Eukaryota; Fungi; Ascomycota; Orbiliomycetes; Orbiliales; Orbiliaceae.
GGGGUUAUAGCUCAGUUGGUAGAGCGCUUGCUUAGCGUGAUGAUUCAUAGUUACAUGCAUGAGGUCUUGGGUUCAAUUCCCAAUAACUCCA